UUAGGUUACUUCACUCGACUUGUUUCACCAACAGAUGGCGUUGUUUGAAUUUUGAAUCGCGUCAUGUUAUUUUAGCAUUAAAAAUUAAAAUCAUUUUGCA
Long non-coding RNA from Aricia agestis (brown argus), 100 nucleotides. RefSeq lists it as uncharacterized. The record is from RefSeq and is a predicted model, not a curated record. Lineage: Eukaryota; Metazoa; Arthropoda; Insecta; Lepidoptera; Lycaenidae. The transcript is spliced from 3 exons.